Molecule: ribosomal RNA, 350 nt
Filed under: uncultured bacterium
Lineage: Bacteria
Description: bacterial SSU rRNA
Rfam family: Bacterial small subunit ribosomal RNA
Source: RNAcentral
AACGAACGCUGGCGGCGUGCCUAACACAUGCAAGUCGUGCGAGAAAGUUUCUUCGGGAGCGAGUAAAGCGGCGCACGGGUGAGUAACACGUAGGUAACCUGCCCCCCAGUCUGGAACAACUAGAGGAAACUCUAGCUAAUGCCGGAUGAGACCACGAUCCCUUCGGGGGUUGCGGCCAAAGAUGGCCUCUACUUGUAAGCUAUCGCUGAGGGAUGGGCCUGCGGCCAUUAGCUUGUUGGUGAGGUUAAACGGCUCACCAAGGCUGUGAUGGCUAGCUGGUCUGAGAGGAUGACCAGCCACACUGGGACUGAGACACGGCCCAGACUCCUACGGGAGCAGCAGUGGGAAUA